RNAcentral lists this ribosomal RNA (505 nucleotides) under uncultured bacterium. RNAcentral's name for it is "partial 16S ribosomal RNA". It matches the Rfam family "Bacterial small subunit ribosomal RNA", at positions 28 to 507 of the family's 1533-position model. The record is from RNAcentral.
GACGAACGCUGGCGGCGUGCCUAAUACAUGCAAGUAGAACGCACAGUUUAUACCGUAGCUUGCUACACCAUAGACUGUGAGUUGCGAACGGGUGAGUAACGCGUAGGUAACCUGCCUGGUAGCGGGGGAUAACUAUUGGAAACGAUAGCUAAUACCGCAUAAUAUUGAUUAUUGCAUGAUAAUUAAUUGAAAGGUGCAAUUGCACCACUACCAGAUGGACCUGCGUUGUAUUAGCUAGUAGGUGAGGUAACGGCUCACCUAGGCGACGAUACAUAGCCGACCUGAGAGGGUGAUCGGCCACACUGGGACUGAGACACGGCCCAGACUCCUACGGGAGGCAGCAGUAGGGAAUCUUCGGCAAUGGACGAAAGUCUGACCGAGAAACGCCGCGUGAGUGAAGAAGGUUUUCGGAUCGUAAAGCUCGGUUGUAAGAGAAGAACGGGUGUGAGAGUGGAAAGUUCACAAUGUGACGGUAUCUUACCAGAAAGAGACGGCUAACUACGUG